RNAcentral lists this long non-coding RNA (1900 nucleotides) under Capsella grandiflora. RNAcentral describes it as "long non-coding RNA (CGRA_LNC001172)". Lineage: Eukaryota; Viridiplantae; Streptophyta; Magnoliopsida; Brassicales; Brassicaceae. The record is from RNAcentral.
AAGAUUGUGGAUGGGAAUGAAAAGAUAAGAGAGCCUUGAUUAUUUGGUUGGUAGUGCAUGCAUUGUUGGGAGCUAUUAGCUGGGAAAGAACAUACGGGUUAGUAACAUAAAAGAACCUAAGACUAUGGCUGGGAAUGAAAAGAAAAGGGAUCCUUGAUUAUUGGCUUGGUAGUGCAUGCAUUUUUGCGAGUUGGGAAAGGGCUUUUGAUUUGUUGGCUGGGAAUGAACCUACGGGUUAGUAACAGAAAAGAACCUAAGAGUUCUCGGCUUGGAAAAAAUAAAAGAGCUACGGCUUAAUGAGACAUAAGACAAAGACAAAGAGUCGAAAGACUAUGGAUGUGACAUGUUGGAUGGUAAAAACGACCAGCAGAGAAAAGAAUGACUUGUUGGAUUGGUAAAACACGACCAGCAGAGAAAAGAGGCCUGAAGAGAAGGCAGUUAACUGAAAAGACAAAGAGUCGAAAGACUAUGGAUGUGACAUGUUGGAUGGUAAAAACGGCCAGCAGAGAAAAGAAUGACUUGUUGGAUUGGUAAAAAAGACCAGCAGAGAAAAGAGGCCUGAAGAGAAAGCAGUGAACUUAAAAGACAAAGAGUCGAAAGACUAUGGAUGUGACAUGUUGGAUGGUAAAAACGACCAGCAGAGAACAGAAUGACUUGUUGGAUUGGUAAAACACGACCAGCAGAGAUAAGAGGCCUGAAGAGAAGGCAGUGAACUUAAAAGACAAAGAGUGAAAGAUUAUGGAUGUGACAUGUUGGAUGGACAAAAACGACCAGCAGAGAAAAGAAUGAGUUGUUGGAUUGGUAAAAACGACCAGCAGAGAAAAGAGGCCUGAAGAGAAAGCAGUGGACUUAAAAGACAAAGAGUCGAAAGACUAUGGAUGUGACAUGUUGGAUGGUAAAAACGACCAGCAGAGAAAAGAAUGACUUGUUGUAUUGGUAAAACACGACCAGCAGAGAAAAGAGGCCUGAAGAGAAGGCAGUGAACUUAAAAGAAAGUGUCGAAAGACUAUGGAUGUGACUUGUUGGAUGGUAAGAACGACCAGCAGAGAAAAGAAUGACUUGUUGGAUUUGGUAAAAACGACCAGCAGAGAAAAGAAGCCUUAAGAGAAGACAAUGGAAAGAUUAUAGACGAAGGUCUUUGGAAAGUUGUAAGACAUAGAUACUUGACAAAAAGAGGUAAGUAUAGGGCAUUUACUUAGUAUGAAAGACUAACGAAUUCUGUUUUCCUCAGGUGUGUGCUUCUGGAGAAGUUCAGAUAUUAAGACUUUCAGAAGAUUCAAGUGUUGCAUACUUCUUUGACAGGUAGAUGCUAUUCUAACCUUUUUGUUUUUGUUUUUAUUUGCUUUGCAAACUUGUUUGUAUAUGAAAAUCACAAUUGAGGUAUAUUCUUAUCUCGACUUCUCAGGUUAAUUUUCCCACUGAUGCAAAGGAUCAGGUAUAUGCUUAUCUUGGCUUCUCUUUAAUAAAAUCACAGAUGUACGCACCUUAUAUAAUUAAAAUUGUUUUAUUAUGUUAGCUGUCUUAAUAUCAUUACUAUCCUUGAUCUAUCUAUCUAAUUCUAGAAACUUAUUGCUAAGAUAUCAUUGAUAAAAAAUGGUGAUCUUGGUUUGCGUAUUGAACAUUAUAUUAUAUUGUGUGUUUGAAUUUUUUAAUUCUCUCUGUUUCUCAGUGUAUGCUUGUAUGUUCUUAGAAGGUCUCUUCUUUUAUAUAAUGGAUGCAUCUUCGAGUCUCUGAAAAUAUUUAUUUUGACAUUAGUUGUGACUUCUGCAGAUUAUGAUUGUAGUUUUCUUUGUAUCUUGAAAGUCUUUGUUUUAGUCUAAGCCUUUGGUGAUUGUGUUUAACAUGUGAAUUUCAUCCUACAAUUCUGCAUUCAUACACUGAGAAAAGGUAGAGUUUACUU